This is a small nuclear RNA of Puccinia sorghi, 191 nucleotides long. It matches the Rfam family "U2 spliceosomal RNA". From Rfam's summary of the family: U2 is a small nuclear RNA (snRNA) component of the spliceosome (involved in pre-mRNA splicing). The record is from Rfam. Lineage: Eukaryota; Fungi; Basidiomycota; Pucciniomycetes; Pucciniales; Pucciniaceae.
AUCCAUUCUGGCCUUUUGGCUUAGAUCAAGUGUAGUAUCUGUUCUUAUCAGUGUAAUUACUGGUAUAUUCUCAUCGAGAAUAUCAAUUAAUUACUCUUAUCUUUGCAAUGCCCCCAGUCAUUACCUGGCUUGCCGGACUGAUUGGGACGAUGGCCUCGGGCUUACACUACUCCCUUGUGCUGUCAGGCAAU